AUUGAACGCUGGCGGCAGGCCUAACACAUGCAAGUCGAACGAGUGGCGGACGGGUGAGUAAUGUCUGGGAAACUGCCCGAUGGAGGGGGAUAACUACUGGAAACGGUAGCUAAUACCGCAUACCAUCGGAUGUGCCCAGAUGGGAUUAGCUAGUAGGUGGGGUCACGGCUUACCUAGGCGACGAUCCCUAGCUGGGCUGAGAGGAUGAGCAGCCACACUGGAACUGAGACACGGCCCAGACUCCUACGGGAGGCAGCAGUGGGGAAUAUUGCACAAUGGGCGCAAGCCUGAUGCAGCCAUGCCGCGUGUAUGAAGAAGGCCUUAGGGUUGUAAAGUACUUUCAGCGAGGAGGCGUUACUCGCAGAAGAAGCACCGGCUAACUCCGUGCCAGCAGCCGCGGUAAUAC
This 406-nucleotide ribosomal RNA is filed under the name uncultured bacterium. Its description in RNAcentral is "partial 16S ribosomal RNA". It matches the Rfam family "Bacterial small subunit ribosomal RNA", at positions 30 to 526 of the family's 1533-position model. The record is from RNAcentral.